RNAcentral lists this long non-coding RNA (858 nucleotides) under Equus asinus (donkey). RNAcentral describes it as "lncRNA (ENSEASG00005023834.1)". Lineage: Eukaryota; Metazoa; Chordata; Mammalia; Perissodactyla; Equidae. The record is from RNAcentral.
AAGGCAGGAUGGAAGUGUGCAUGCUUGAGUAGAAAGGAAGAGGCACCAAGAGGAGCUAAAGAUGCUGGAGAGGAAGAGCAUAGGUGUGAACCCACAGACGUAAGAAAAAUGAACAUCUUUUAGGGUCCAAAAGGCCACCUCAAGAGGUCUGCUUCUCAUUCUGGCUCUCCAACUCAGUAGUAGAUCUCCUUUUUGGGCUGGCGUCUUCAGUAAGAUGGUGGACUGAGACCCCAAUUGCCACACACCUACUUUGGAGAAGAAGCAGAAUGAGAGCCUGGAUACCCCGAAUCCAUGUCUACGUCUCUGUCCACUAUACCACACGGCACCAUUUUAAAACAAACCUAGAAGCCACUGGUGGCUCCAGAAAGACAUUUAUCCCUUAUACUUCAAACCUAGAGAAUGUUGACUGGCAUGGUUCCUUUGGAGCAAAUCCAAUUCUGGAAGAGGAGAGGAGGCUAAGUUAUUUUUUCCCAGCCUUCAUGAGAUCACUGGAAAUGCUCUCAGAAGAUGUGUUAGACUCUAAGAGCUGGAUUUUUCCAUUCAGUUCCCCUUUGUUUUGCUUGGCCUUACAAGGAAGAAAAAUGCUUAACUGAGUGAUCAAGCCAAUGAAACCUGAAUCAGCUGUUUGUUUUAUGUUUUCCUCAUUAAGUAUUUCCAUUUUGUGUUUAAAAUUCAGAAGCUUAUCUUAAAGAGCAAAGGUUACAUUCAAGAUUAAUGUCAAAGAAUCCCUAAGAAAACUGCCUGAGAAACCAGGAUCCUGGUCUUUAGAGGAACUGUUCUUUCUGAGAAGCCUGAUGACUCAUGUUGGUUGUAGAAACUUGUAAUCUGCCAUGAAAAUUAAAGCAUUUACAAUUCAAA